AUUGAACGCUGGCGGCAGGCCUAACACAUGCAAGUCGAGCGGAUGAAGGGAGCUUGCUCCUGGAUUCAGCGGCGGACGGGUGAGUAAUGCCUAGGAAUCUGCCUUGUAGUGGGGGAUAACGUCCGGAAACGGGCGCUAAUACCGCAUACGUCCUGAGGGAGAAAGUGGGGGAUCUUCGGACCUCACGCUAUCAGAUGAGCCUAGGUCGGAUUAGCUAGUUGGUGGGGUAAAGGCCUACCAAGGCGACGAUCCGUAACUGGUCUGAGAGGAUGAUCAGUCACACUGGAACUGAGACACGGUCCAGACUCCUACGGGAGGCAGCAGUGGGGAAUAUUGGACAAUGGGCGAAAGCCUGAUCCAGCCAUGCCGCGUGUGUGAAGAAGGUCUUCGGAUUGUAAAGCACUUUAAGUUGGGAGGAAGGGCAGUAAGUUAAUACCUUGCUGUCUUGACGUUACCAACAGAAUAAGCACCGGCUAACUUCGUG
This 484-nucleotide ribosomal RNA is filed under the name uncultured bacterium. Its description in RNAcentral is "partial 16S ribosomal RNA". It matches the Rfam family "Bacterial small subunit ribosomal RNA", at positions 30 to 507 of the family's 1533-position model. The record is from RNAcentral.